CGCGCGAACUUUACAUGCACGAAAGUGUGAUAAGGGAAUCCUAAGUGCUAACACAUAGUGUUGGCUUUUUUGAAGAGUAAAAAUCUUUAAGAAUAAGUGAUGGGUAAGACUGGUGCCAGCAUCCGCGGUAACACCAGCGUCACGAGUGGGAAUCAUUUUUAUUGGGCUUAAAGCGUCCGUAGCUGGUUUGAUAAGUCUUUUGUGAAAUCGUAAACUUUAAUCUUACGGCGUGCAAAAGAUACUGUUAAACUAGAGACCGGGAGGAGUUAGGAGUAUUCCAGGGGGAGCGGUAAAAUGCUAUAAUCCCCUGAGGACUACCUAUGGCGAAGGCACUAUACCAGAACGGAUUCGACGGUGAGGGACGAAAGCUAGGGGAGCGAUCCGGAUUAGAUACCCGAGUAGUCCUAGCUGUAAACGCUGCGAGCUAGGUGUUGCACAUUUUUCGUGAAUGUGCAGUAUCGAAGCGAAGGUGUUAAGCUCGCCGCCUGGGAAGUAUGGUCGCAAGGCUGAAACUUAAAGGAAUUGGCGGGGGAGCACAAGCCGAAUU
RNAcentral lists this ribosomal RNA (547 nucleotides) under uncultured archaeon. RNAcentral describes it as "bacterial SSU rRNA". It matches the Rfam family "Archaeal small subunit ribosomal RNA", at positions 340 to 889 of the family's 1478-position model. The record is from RNAcentral.